AUGCACGCUGGCGGCGUGCCUCAUACCUGCAAGUCGAGCGCACGGACGAGAAGCUUGCUUCUCUGAUGUUAGCGGCGGACGGGUGAGUAACACGUGGAUAACCUACCUAUAAGACUGGGAUAACUUCGGGAAACCGGAGCUAAUACCGGAUAAUAUUUUGAACCGCAUGGUUCAAAAGUGAAAGACGGUCUUGCUGUCACUUAUAGAUGGAUCCGCGCUGCAUUAGCUAGUUGGUAAGGUAACGGCUUACCAAGGCAACGAUGCAUAGCCGACCUGAGAGGGUGAUCGGCCACACUGGAACUGAGACACGGUCCAGACUCCUACGGGAGGCAGCAGUAGGGAAUCUUCCGCAAUGGGCGAAAGCCUGACGGAGCAACGCCGCGUGAGUGAUGAAGGUCUUCGGAUCGUAAAACUCUGUUAUUAGGGAAGAACAUAUGUGUAAGUAACUGUGCACAUCUUGACGGUACCCAAUCAGAAAGCCACGGCUAACUACGUG
RNAcentral lists this ribosomal RNA (496 nucleotides) under uncultured bacterium. Its description in RNAcentral is "partial 16S ribosomal RNA". It matches the Rfam family "Bacterial small subunit ribosomal RNA", at positions 29 to 507 of the family's 1533-position model. The record is from RNAcentral.